RNAcentral lists this ribosomal RNA (473 nucleotides) under uncultured Magnetococcus sp. RNAcentral's name for it is "bacterial SSU rRNA". It matches the Rfam family "Bacterial small subunit ribosomal RNA", at positions 79 to 587 of the family's 1533-position model. Lineage: Bacteria; Pseudomonadati; Pseudomonadota; Magnetococcia; Magnetococcales; Magnetococcaceae. The record is from RNAcentral.
UUCGGUCAGCUGACGAGUGGCGAACGGGUGAGUAACACGUGGAGACCUAUCCUAGGGUACGGGAUAACAGUUAGAAAUGACUGCUAAUACCGUAUACGUCCUAAGGGAGAAAGAUUUAUUGCCCUUGGAGGGGUCCGCGUUGGAUUAGCUAGUAGGUGGGGUAACGGCUCACCUAGGCGAUGAUCCAUAGCUGUUCUUAGAGGAAGAUCAGCCACACUGGGACUGAGACACGGCCCAGACUCCUACGGGAGGCAGCAGUGGGGAAUAUUGCGCAAUGGGGGCAACCCUGACGCAGCGAUGCCGCGUGAGUGAAGAAGGCCUUAGGGUUGUAAAGCUCUUUCAGUAGGGAAGAUUGUGACGGUACCUACAGAAGAAGCUCCGGCUAACUCCGUGCCAGCAGCCGCGGUAAUACGGAGGGGGCGAGCGUUGUUCGGAAUUAUUGGGCGUAAAGAGCAUGUAGGCGGUUUGAUAAG